RNAcentral lists this ribosomal RNA (253 nucleotides) under uncultured bacterium. RNAcentral's name for it is "partial 16S ribosomal RNA". It matches the Rfam family "Bacterial small subunit ribosomal RNA", at positions 524 to 776 of the family's 1533-position model. The record is from RNAcentral.
GACGAACUGUCCUAACGUUGUUCGGAAUCACUGGGCUUAAAGGGCGCGUAGGCGGUCGACCAAGUCAGGGGUGAAAUCCUGCAGCUUAACUGUAGAAGUGCCUUUGAUACUGGUCGUCUGGAGGGGGGUAGGGGUGUGUGGAACUUCCAGUGGAGCGGUGAAAUGCGUUGAUAUUGGAAGGAACGCCGGAGGCGAAAGCGACGCACUGGACCUCUUCUGACGCUGAGGCGCGAAAGCUAGGGGAGCAAACGGG